RNAcentral lists this long non-coding RNA (40232 nucleotides) under Triticum aestivum (bread wheat). RNAcentral's name for it is "long non-coding RNA (TAES_LNC009108)". The record is from RNAcentral. Lineage: Eukaryota; Viridiplantae; Streptophyta; Magnoliopsida; Poales; Poaceae.
GCUUAGUGGGUUGGCUGAUCUUGAUGCCGCCGUCUGCAUCUGCACUGCCAUCAAGGCCAACCUCCUUGGAAUCAUCAACAUUGACAUUCCCGUCGACCUUACCCUGCUACUAAACCAUUGUAACAAGACAUAUCCCUCUAGUUUCACCUGCUCGCAAUGAGUUAUGACCAACUAUACCUCCCGAAAACAUACUCAUCAUCAUGUAUGUGAGGCAUACCUAUCUAUGCCAACUCAUUAAUAAAUUUUGUGUUUAAAUUAUAUUUGUUUAGUUUUCAAGUUAUGUUUGUGUGUGUGACAUAAGUGUAUCAUGUUAUCUAAUCCAAGUUAUUGAGAUGGAUCUCGUGUCAUUGAAGAUAUUACCCUACAACAUAUGAGAUCAUUAUAAAUAAUUCAUAAAUUACAUCGUAGUCAAUUGUUUGAACCAUCCAUCUAGAUACGACAUAUUAAUGAUUUUUUAGAACUAUAAAAAUAUCUAUUAUAUCUUGCUCUUACUAGGAACCAUCUGAUGGUAGUCAUUCAUCAUAUGGUUCAACAGAUUUGUUUUGUUCUCAACUAGAUGUGUUCAUUUUGUUCAUGUGGCCUCCAAACCCUGCCAUUAAUUUUCCUAGCGUUAUGCACACACUUGCUUAGCUAUUGGCUACUCUUAGGAUGAGUGGUUGUCCUGUAAGCUGAUCAACCUCUUGUGAGUCCCACUUGUAAGUGAUUAAUUGAACAAUGAUGUGGCCAUGUUGCCGAUGUUGAUAUGCUGCAUGUCAAGAGAAAUAUUAUAGUGGGGAUGGACUAUUUAGGUAUUAUAGAUAUCUUGUGAUUUUCAAAAAAAUCAGAAAAAUCCAUUUUUUCACGAAAUCAAAGAUUCUUUCAUGAUUUUCAAAAAAUGUUGACAUAUUCAAUUUUUUCUUAAAUUCAAAACAUGUUCAAGAUUGAAAAAAUGUUCAUGAUGUUUUUUGUGAAUGUGAAAAAACACAAAAAUAUAAAAUAAAGAGAAGCAAAAUAAAAAAUAGAAGGAAAAAAAUGAAAGAAUAGGAAAAAGUAAAUAAAGAUAAAAUAAUACACAUAAAGUACGAGAGAAAAAGAAAGAAAAAUAGUGGUUCGGGCAGGGUUCCACUCACUCCAAUUCAUAAUAUAGGACGUUAUUGUUGGGGAACGUAGCAAUAAUUCAAAAUUUUCCCACGUAUCACCAAGAUCAAUCUAGGAGAUGCUAGCAAUGAGAGAGAGGGAGUGCAUCUUUAUACCCUUGAAGAUCGCUAAGCGGAAGCGUUCAAGAGAACGGGGUUGAUGGAGUCAUACUCGUCGUGAUCCAAAUCACCGAUGAUCCUAGCGCCGAACGGACGGCACGUCCGCGUUCAACACAUGUCCGGAGCAGCGACGUCUCCUCCUUCUUGAUCCAGCAAGGGGGGAGGAGAGGUUGAUGGAGAUCCAGCAGCACGGCGGCGUGGUGGUCGAAGUAGCGGGAUUCCAACAGGGCUUCGCCAAGCGCUGGGGGAGGAGGGAGAUGUGUCACGGGAGGGAGAGGGAGGCGCCAGGGCUUGGGUAUGGCUGCCCUCCCCUUCCCACAUAUANNNNNNNNNNNNNNNNNNNNNNNNNNNNNNNNNNNNNNNNNNNNNNNNNNNNNNNNNNNNNNNNNNNNNNNNNNNNNNNNNNNNNNNNNNNNNNNNNNNNNNNNNNNNNNNNNNNNNNNNNNNNNNNNNNNNNNNNNNNNNNNNNNNNNNNNNNNNNNNNNNNNNNNNNNNNNNNNNNNNNNNNNNNNNNNNNNNNNNNNNNNNNNNGGCCCUUCCUCCAAGGAAGGGUGCGGCCAGGGAGGAGUCCAUCCUCCCUAAGGCACCUAGGAGGUGCCUUCCCCCUUUAGGACUCUCCCUUUCCCUUAUCUCUUGGCGCAUGGGCCUCUUGGGGCUGGUUCCCUUGGCCCAUAUAGGCCAAGGCGCACACCCCUACAGCCCAUGUGGCCCCCCGGGGCAGGUGGACCCCCUGGUGGACCCCCGGACCCCUUUCGGCACUCCCGGUACAAUACCGAUAAUGCGCGAAACUUUUCCGGCGACCAAAACAAGACUUCCCAUAUAUAAAUCUUUACCUCCGGACCAUUCCGGAACUCCUCGUGACGUCCGGGAUCUCAUCCGGGACUCCGAACAACUUUUGGGUUACCGCAUACUAAUAUCUCUAUAACCCUAGCGUCACCGAACCUUAAGUGUGUAGACCCUACGGGUUCGGGAGACACGUAGACAUGACCGAGACGACUCUCCGGCCAAUAACCAACAGCAGGAUCUGGAUACCCAUGUUGGCUCCCACAUGCUCCUCGAUGAUCUCAUCGGAUGAACCACGAUGUCGAGGAUUCAAUCAACCCCGUAUACAAUUCCCUUUGUCAAUCGGUAUGUUACUUGCCCGAGAUUCGAUCGUCGGUAUCCCAAUACCUCGUUCAAUCUCGUUACCGUCAAGUCUCUUUACUCAUUCCGUAACGCAUGAUCCCAUGGCUAACUCCUUAGUCACAUUGAGCUCAUUAUGAUGAUGCAUUACCGAGUGGGCCCAGAGAUACCUCUCCGUCAUAUGGAGUGACAAAUCCCAGUCUCGAUUCGUGCCAACCCAACAGACACUUUCGGAGAUACCUGUAGUGCACCUUUAUAGCCACCCAGUUACGUUGUGACGUUUGGUACACCCAAAGCAUUCCUACGGUAUCCGGGAGUUGCACAAUCUCAUGGUCUAAGGAAACGAUACUUGACAUUAGAAAAGUUGUUAGCAAACGAACUACACGAUCUUGUGCUAUGCUUAGGAUUGGGUCUUGUCCAUCACAUCAUUCUCCUAAUGAUGUGGUCCCGUUAUCAAUGACAUCCAAUGUCCAUGGUCAGGAAACCAUAACCAUCUAUUGAUCAACGAGCUAGUCAACUAGAGGCUUACUAGGGACAUGUUGUGGUCUAUGUAUUCACACACGUAUUACGGCUUCCAGUUAAUACAAUUAUAGCAUGAACAAUAGACAAUUAUUAUGAACAAGGAAAUACAAUAAUAACCAUUUUAUUAUUGCCUCUAGGGCAUAUUUCCAACAGUCUCCCACUUGCACUAGAGUCAAUAAUCUAGUUCACAUCGCCAUGUGAUUAAUACCCAAGAGUUUACUAGAGUCAAUAAUCUAGUUCACAUCACCAUGUGAUUGUAAUGAAUCCAACACCCAUGGGGUUUGUUCAUAUCUUGCUUGUGAGAGAGGUUAUUAGUCAACGGGUCUGAACCUUUCAGAUCCAUGUGUGUUUUACAAAUCUCUAUGUCAUCUUGUAGAUGCAGCUACCACGCGCUACUUGGAGCUAUUCCAAAUAACUGCUCUACUAUACGAAUCCGGUUUACUACUCAGAGUCAUCCGGAUUAGUGUCAAAGUUUGCAUCGACGUAACCCUUUACGACGAAUUCUUUUACCACCUCCAUAAUCGAGAAAAUUUCUUAGUCCACUAGUUACUAAGGAUAAGUUUGACCGCUGUCAUGUGAUCCAUUCCUGGAUCAGUCUUGUACCCCUUGAUUGACUCAUGGCAAGCACACUUCAGGUGCGGUACACAACAUAGCACACUGUAGAGCCUACGUCUAAAGCAUAGGGGACGACCUUCGUCCUUUCUCUCUCUUCUGCCGUGGUCAGAUCUUGAGUCUCACUGAAUGCUCACACCUUAUAACACAGCCAAGAACUCCUUCUUUGCUGAUCUAUUUUGAACUCCUUCAAAAUCUUGUCACGGUAUGUAUUCAUUUGAAAGUACUAUUAAGCGUUUUUGAUCUAUCCUUAUAGAUCUUGAUGCUCAAUGUUCAAGUAGCUUAAUCCAGGUUUUCCAUUGAAAACACUUUUCAAAUAACCUUGUAUGCUUUCCAGAAAUUCUACAUCAUUUCUGAUCAACAAUAUGUUAACAACAUAUACUCAUCAAAAAUUCUAUAGUGCUCCCACUCACUUCUUUGGAAAUACAAGUUUCUCAUAAACUUUAUAAAAACCCAAAAUCUUUGAUCAUCUCAUCAAAGCGUACAUUCCAAAUCCGAGAUGCUUACUCCAAUCCUUAGAAGGAUUGCUGGAGCUUUGCAUACUUGUUAGCAUCUUUCAGGAUUGACAAAACCUUCUGGUUGUAUCACAUACAACCUUUCCUCAAGAAAAUCAUCGAGGAAACAAUGUUUUGACAUCCUAUCUGCAAGAUUUCAUAAAUAAUGCAGUAACUGCUAAUAUAAUUCCAACAGACUCUUAGCAUCGCUACGAGUGAGAAAAUCUCAUCGUAGUCAACUCCUUGAACUUGUCGGAAAACAUCUUAACGACAAGUCGAGCUUUCUUAAUGGUGACACUUACCAUCAUUUUCCGUCUUCCUUUUAAAAUCCAUCUGCACCCAACAGCCUUACGACCAUCAAGUAGUUCUUCCAAAGUCUACACUUUGUUUUUAUACAUGGACCCUCUCUCGGAUUUUAUGGCCUCGAGCCAUUCGUCGGAAUCUAGGCCCACCAUCGUUUCUCCAUAGCUCGUAGGUUCAUUGUUGUCUAGCAACAUGACUUCCAAGACAGGAUUACGUACCACUCUAAAGUAGCAUGCAUCCUUAUCAUCCUACGAGGUUUGGUAGUGACUUGAUCCGAAGUUUCAUGAUCACUAUCAUAAGCUUCCACUUCAAUUGGUGUAGGUGCCACAGGAACAACUACUUGUGCCCUGCUACACACUAGUUGAAGUGACGGUUCAGUAACCUCGUCAAGUCUCCACCAUCCUCCCACUCAAUUCUUUCGAGAGAAACUUUUCCUCGAGAAAGGACCCGUUUCUAGAAACAAUCACUUUUGCUUCCAGAUCUGAAAUAGGAGGUAUACCCAACUGUUUUGGGUAUUCUAUGAAGAUGCAUUUAUCCGCUUUGGGUUCGAGCUUAUCAGCCUGAAACUUUUUCACAUAAGCGUCGCAGCCCCAAACUUUUAAGAAACGACAGCUUAGGUUUCUCUAAACCAUAGUUCAUACGGUGUCUCUCAACGGAAUUGCGUGGUGCCCUAUUGAAAGUGAAUGCGGUUGUCUCUAAUGCCUAACCCAUAAACUAUAGUUGUAAUUCGAUAAGAGACAUCAUGGUAUGCACCAUAUCCAAUAGGGUGCAGUUAUGAUGUUCGGACACACCAUCACAAUAUGGUGUUCCAGGCGGUAGUCAUGAAACAAUUUCCACAAUUUCUUAAUUGUGUGCCAAACUCGUAACUCAGAUAUUCAUCUCUAUGAUCAUAUCACAGACAUUUUAUCCUCUUGUCACGAUGAUCUUCAACUUCACUCUGAAAUUACUUGAACCUUUCAAUAAUUCAGACUUGUGUUUCAUCAAGUAAAUAUUCUCAGCAUCUACCCAAAUCAUCUGUGAAGUAAGAACAUAACGAUAUCCACUGCGUGCCUCAGCACUCAUUGGACUGCACACAUCAAUGUAUUACUUCCAACAAGUUGCUCUCUUGUUCCAUCUUACUGAAAACAAGGCCUUUCAGUCAUCUUGCCCAUGUGGUAUGAUUUGCAUGUCUCAAGUGAUUCAAAAUCAAGUGAGUCCAAAUGAUCCAUCUGUAUGGACUUUCUUCAUGCAUAUAUACUAAUAGACAUGGUUCGCAUGUCUCAAUCUUUUCAAAAACGAGUGAGUCCAAAGAUCCAUCAACAUGGAGCUUCUUCAUGCGUUUUAUACCAAUAUGACUCAAGUGGCAGUGCCACAAGUAUGUGGUACUAUCAUUACUAUCUUAUAUCUUUUGGCAUGAACAUGUGUAUCACUACGAUCGAGAUUCAAUAAACCAUUCAUUUUAGGUGCAAGACCAUUGAAGGUAUUAUUCAAAUAGACAGAGUAACCAUUAUUCUCCUUUAAUGAAUAACCGUAUUGCGAUAAACAUAAUCCAAUCAUGUCUAUGCUCAACGCAAACACCAAAUAAUAAUUAUUCAGGUUUAACCCCAAUCUCGAUGGUAGAGGGAGCAUGCAAUGCUUGAUCACAUCAACCUUGGAAACACUUCCAACACAUAUCGUCAUCUCACCUUUAGCUAGUCUCCGUUUAUUCCGCAGCUUUUAUUUCGAGUUACUAACACUUAGCAACCGAACUGGUAUCUAAUACCCUGGUGCUACUAGGAGUACUAGUAAAGUACACAUUUAUAUAAUGUAUAUCCAAUAUACUUCUGUCGACCUUGCCAACCUUCUCAUCUACGAAGUAUCUAGGGUAGUUCUGCUUCAGUGACCGUUCCCCUCAUUUCAGAAGCACUUAGUCUCGGGUUUGGGUUCAACCUUGGGUUUCUUCACUAGAGCAGCAACUGAUUUGCCGUUUCAUGAAGUAUCCCUUCUUGCCCUUGCCCUUCUAGAAACUAGUGGUUUUACUAACCAUCAACAAUUGAUGCUCCUUCUUGAUUUCUACUUUCGUGGUGUCAAACAUCGCGAGUUUCUCAAGGAUCAUCAUGUCUAUCCCUGAUAUGUUAUAGUUCAUCACAAAAACUCUAAUAGCUUGGUGGCAGUGACUAUGGAGAACCAUCACUAUCUCAUCUGGAAGAUUAACUCCCACUUGAUUCAAGUGAUUGUAGUACUCAGACAAUCUGAGCACAUGCUCAACGAUUGAGCUUUUCUCCCUUAGUUUGCAGGCUUAAGAAACUUGUCAGAGGUCUCAUACCUCUUGACGUGGGCAUUAGUCUGAAAUCCCAAUUUCAGUCUUUGGAACAUCUCAUAUGUUCUGCGAUGUUUCAAAACCGUCUUUGGUGCCACAAUUUUAAACCGUUAGCAUCACACACUGAACUAUCACGUAGUCAUCAAAACGUGUAUGUCAGAUGUUUCGUAACAUCUACAGACGACGCUCGAGGUUCAGCACACCGAGCGGUGCAUUAAGGACAUAAGCCUUCUGUGCAGCAAUGAGGACAAUCCUCAGUUUACGGACCCAGUCCGCAUAAUUGCUACUAUCAACUUUCAACUAAAUUUUCUCUAGGAACAUAUCUUAGUAGAACUAAAGCGUAAGCUACGACAUAAUUUGCAAAGACCUUUUGACUAUGUUCAUGAUAAUUAAGUUCAUCUAAUUAUUUAAUGAACUCCCACUCAGAUAUACAUCCCUCUAGUCAUCUAAGUGAUACAUGAUCCGAGUCAACUAGGCCGUGUCCGAUCAUCACGUGAGAUGGACUAGUCAUCAUCGAUGAACAUCUCCAUGUUGAUCGUAUCUGCUAUACGACUCAUGUUCGACCUUUCGGUCUUCCGUGUUCCGAGGCCAUGUCUGUACAUGCUAGGCUCGUCAAGUCAACCUAUGUGUUUCGCAUGUGUAAAUCUGGCUUACACCCGUUGUAUGCGAACGUUAGAAUCUAUCACACCCGAUCAUCACGUGGUGCUUCGAAACAAUGAUCCUUCGCAACGGUGCACAGUUAGGGGGAACACAUUCUUGAAAUUUAGAGAGGGAUCAUCUUAUUUAUGCUACCGUCGUUCUAAGAAAAUAAGAUGUAAACAUGACAAACAUCACAUGCAAAUCAUAAAGUGACAUGAUAUGGCCAAUAUCAUCUUGCGCCUUUGAUCUCCAUCUCCGAGGUGCGGCAUGAUCACUUCGUCACCGGCAUGACACCAUGAUCUCCAUCAUCAUGAUCUCCAUCAUCAUGAUCACCAUCAUCGUGUCUUCAUGAAGUUGUCUCGCCAACUAUUACUUCUACUACUAUGGCUAACAGUUAGCAAUAAAGUAAAGUAAUUACAUGGCGUUUUCAUUGACACGCAGGUCAUACAAUAAAUUAAGACAACUCCUAUGGCUCCUGCCGGUUGUCAUACUCAUCGACAUGCAAGUCGUGAUUCCUAUUACAAGAACAUGAUCAAUCUCAUACAUCACAUAUAUAUAAUUCAUCACAUCCUUUUGGCCAUAUCACAUCACAUAGCAUACCCUGCAAAAACAAGUUAAACGUCCUCUAAUUGUUGUUGCAUGUUUUACGUGGCUGCUAUGGGUUUCAAUUAAGAACGUUUCUUACCUACAUAAAAGCCACAACGGUGAUAUGCCAAUUGCUAUUUACCCUUCAUAAGGACCCUCUUCAUCGAAUCCGAUCCGACUAAAGUGGGAGAGACAGACACCCGCUAGCCACCUUAUGCAUCAAGUCCAUGUCAGUCGGUGGAACCUGUCUCACGUAAGUGUACGUGUAAGGUCGGUCCGGGCCGCUUCAUCCCACAAUGCCACCGAAUCAAGAUAAGACUAGUAACGGUAAGCAAAUUGAACAAAUCAUCGCCCACAACUACUUUGUGUUCUACUCGUGCAUAGAAUCUACGCAUAGACCUAGCUCAUGAUGCCACUGUUGGGGAAUGUAGCAAUAAUUCAAAAUUUUCCUACGUAUCACCAAGAUCAAUCUAGGAGAUGCUAGCAACGAGAGAGAGGGAGUGCAUCUUCAUACCCUUGAAGAUCGCUAAGAGGAAGCGUUCAAGAGAACGGGGUUGAUGGAGUCGUACUCGUCGUGAUCCAAAUCACCGAUGAUCCUAGCGUCGAACGGACGGCACCUCCGCGUUCAACACACGUACGGAGCAGCGACGUCUGCUCCUUCUUGAUCUAGCAAGGGGGGAGGAGAGGUUGAUGGAGAUCCAGCAGCACGACGGCGUGGUGGUCAAAGUAGCGGGAUUCCAACAGGGCUUUGCCAAGCGCUGCGGGAGGAGGGAGAUGUGUCACGGGAGGGAGAGGGAGGCGCCAGGGCUUGGGUAUGGCUGCCCUCCCCUUCCCACAUAUAUAUAGGGGCAAGGGAGAGGGGGGGGCGCAGCCUUGGCCCUUCCUCCAAGGAAGGGUGCGGCCAGGGAGGAGUCCAUCCUCCCUAAGGCACCUAGGAGGUGCCUUCCCCCUUUAGGACUCUCCCUUUCCCUUAUCUCUUGGUGCAUGGGCCUCUUGGGGCUGGUUCCCUUGGCCCAUAUAGGCCAAGGCGCACACCCCUACAGCCCAUGUGCCCCCCCGGGGCAGGUGGACCUCCUGGUGGACCCCCGGACCCCUUUCGGCACUCCCGGUACAAUACCGAUAAUGCGCGAAACUUUUCUGGCGACCAAAACAAGACUUCCCAUAUAUAAAUCUUUACCUCCGGACCAUUCCGGAACUCCUCGUGACAUCCGGGAUCUCAUCCGGGACUCCGAACAACUUUCGGGUUACCGCAUACUAAUAUCUCUAUAACCCUAGCGUCACCGAACCUUAAGUGUGUAGACCCUACGGGUUCGAGAGACACGUAGACAUGACCGAGACGACUCUCUGGCCAAUAACCAAAAGCGGGAUCUGGAUACCCAUGUUGGCUCCCACAUGCUCCUCGAUGAUCUCAUCGGAUGAACCACGAUGUUGAGGAUUCAAUCAAUCCCGUAUACAAUUCCCUUUGUCAAUCGGUAUGUUACUUCCCCGAGAUUCGAUCGUCGGUAUCCCAAUACCUCGUUCAAUCUCGUUACCGGCAAGUCUCUUUACUCAUUCCGUAACGCAUGAUCCGUGGCUAACUCCUUAGUCACAUUGAGCUCAUUAUGAUGAUGCAUUACCGAGUGGGUCCAGAGAUACCUCGCCGUCAUACGAAGUGACAAAUCCCAGUCUCGAUUCGUGCCAACCCAACAGACACUUUCGUAGAUACCUGUAGUGCACCUUUAUAGCCACCCAGUUACGUUGUGACGUUUGGUACAUCCAAAGCAUUCCUACGGUAUCCGGGAGUUGCACAAUCUCAUGGUCUAAGGAAACGAUACUUGACAUUAGAGAAGCUCUUAGCAAACGAACUACACGAUCUUGUGCUAUGCUUAGGAUUGGGUCUUGUCCAUCACAUCAUUCUCCUAAUGAUGUGAUCCCGUUAUCAAUGACAUCCAAUGUCCAUGGUCAGGAAACCAUAACCAUCUAUUGAUCAACGAGCUAGUCAACUAGAGGCUUACUAGGGACAUGUUGUGGUCUAUGUAUUCACACACGUAUUACGGUUUCCAGUUAAUACAAUUAUAGCAUGAACAAUAGACAAGUAUUAUGAACAAGGAAAUACAAUAAUAACCAUUUUAUUAUUGCCUCUAGGGCAUAUUUCCAACAGUUAUUACAUCCCAAAAAUGGUGAGUGCAACUAGUUGACGAGAGCUCCUUCGGGAGCCUCGCAACGAUUACUUGCGGGUGGGCUCGCGCGCUCUCAGCCGCCACGUGUCACGCUUUGGACGCUCCCUCCAGAUUUUCUUUUAUUUUCCGUACAUGUUUUCGUCUUUUAAACCCCCUUUUCUUGUUUUUUUUGACUUUUUGGUAUUCCAUCAGUCUUCCUUAGCUUUUGGACCAAAAACAAAAUUCUGAAAAAACAAUCGGGCGAAAAAAACUUUUUUUCUUCCGCAAGAGGCACGGUUUUGCUUCUGCAGAGGCACGGUUGUGCUUUUGUGAGAGGCACGACUAUGCCUUUCGGAAACGGAAAAAAACGUGGUUUCUAUUUUCUUUCCUACCGCGAGAGGCAUGGCUGUCCCUGUCUAAAACGAAAAAAAAAACACUUUUUUGUUUUUUUUCCUUUCGCGAGAGGCACGGUCGAAAACGAAAAAACGCAUUUUAUGUUUUUUUCUUCCGCGAGAGGCACAGUUUUUGCUUCCGCGAGAGGCACGGACGUGUCUUUCAAAAAUAGAAAAAAUGCAUUUUCUUUUUUUUCCUUCUACGGGAGGCACGGUUGUGUUUUCGCGAGAGGCACGGUCGUGUAUUUUGUAAACGAAAAAAUGUGUUUUCUAUUUUUUCUUUCCGCGAGAGGCACGAUUGUUCUUUCGUGAGAGGCACAACCUUGCCUCUCGAAAUCGAAAAAACGUGUUUUCUGUUGUUUUUCCUUCUGCGAGGUCUUUCUUCUGCCAGAGGCACGGCGUGCCUUUCGUAAACUGAAAAAAAGAACGUAUUUUUUGUUUUUCUCCUUCCGCGAGAGGCAUGGUUGUGCUUUGGCGAGAGGCAUGACCGUGCCUCUCGAAAACGAAAAAAACGUGUGUUCUGCUUUUUUUACUUCUCUGAGAGGCAUGGUUUUGGUUCCGCGAGAGGCACGGUUGUGCUUUCGCGAGAGGCAAGGUUGUGCCUUAAACGGCUGUGCCUCUCGCGAAACAUCUAUAACAUCUGCUUCCGGUGUUAUUACCUAUAUAACAUCGGCUUUUGCCUCGAGGGGGUCAUCGGCAAUAUAAUGAUUAAAUCUUUGACCAUUUACCACUCUCAAUUUGGCCCCUCAACGUUGUUGAUCUUGAUGGCUCCAAACGGGUAAACAUCUUCAAUGAUUAAGGGUCCUCCCAUUUAGAAAGAAGCUUACCGAAAAAAUAUCAAAAUGAGGCUUGUUCAAGAGAACUUUAUCACCAAUCUUAAAUUCACGUUUCUGAAUUCCCCUACCAUGAUACAUUCUAACUUUUUAAAACAUAUUAGCAUUCUCAUAAGCUUCAUUCCUUCACUCAUCUAAAGCGCUCAUGUCAAGCAACCUCUUUUCACCAGUAAAUUUAAAAUCAUAGUUGAGUUGCUUAACAACCCAAUAAGCUUUAUGUUCUAACCCAAGAGGUAAAUGUCAAGCUUGACCGUAACCAUUUUAUAUAGUGACAUGCCCAUAGGAUUCUUAUAAGCAAUUCUAUGAGCCUAAAGUGCAUCAUCACGUUUCUUACACCAAUCCUUCAUUGACCUAUUGAUAGUCAAUUGCAAAAAUUAAUUUGAUAUCUCUGUUAGAUAAUUCAAUCUUUCCACUAGACUGGGGAUGAUGUGGUGAUGCUACUCUAUGGUUUACUCAUACUUAGCAAGACCUUUUCUAACAACACCAUGAAUAAAAUCUGAACGAUAAUCGGUCAUAAGAUAUCUAGGACUCCAAACAUCAAAAACAUAACCUCCUUAAGUAUUUUAAUAUAACGUCAUGAUCAAAACUUUUAGUUGAAAUGUCUUCUACCAACUUAGUGACAUUAUCAACAACAACUAGAAUAAGAGUGUAACCAUGUGAGGUUAAAAAAUGUCCCAUAUAAUUAAAGCCUAUCAGUGUACAAAUGUAGGGGCUCUCCUUUUGACCCCUUUACUUGUGCACGGGCAGUCACAGCCGCGCGCGCCGCGGCCGCACAUAGCAGGGCAGAGGAGGGAAGCCGGAGAGAAACCAAAGCACAAGACGAACAAAGCAACGCCAAGACCAGAAGCAUAAAAUAGCAAGGGGGCAAGGUGGACUCCCCCGGCAAGACCCUUGCCGGGGCGGCCUCCGCGGCCCCGGAAAGAGCCUUGCCGGGGCAACUUGCCCAACACCAGCAGAGCGAGCCACCCUUGAGCCCAAGGGUUCCAAACGUCACCAACAGCUACAUUGGACCCAGGGCUCGGGAGGCACCUCUGUGGUGGCAUGCAGAUCUUUAUCAAGAUCAUAGGUACAUGAGAUCAGAUGAGGACCAGAAGAUGACUAUCCUCGGCGGGAUUCUAACCGAGGAAACCCACGAGACCCCCGGCAAGAGCCUUGCCGGGGACGACCGUAGCGCCACGGCAAGACCCUUGCCGGGCCCCCCGGCAAGACCCUUGCCGAGGGCAUCAGCAGGGCCACAGCCAGGCCCGCACCAGCCAAGACUCCACCGCCGUUCCCAAGCAGCUGCUAGCUCAACCAGCUGGGGAGGCACCUGCGUAGCGACGGGCGGCCUCUACACCGACUCAGCAAGCACCUGCCUUGUGUUAUGCGGAUCUUCGUGAAGGCUCCACCACCAUGCCACCUCAGCAGCCUGCCUACCUACAUGGCACCGCACGCUUCGCUAGCCCGGGCGCGUGUCGAUGCGAGGCGGGGCGACGACGGACGGGACGGGCCUUGUUCCCGUCCCCGAUAAAGCUAAUGGACACCUAAGUAGCGCAUUUAAUGCGCUUUGUCCUGUAACGCCGGGCGAUAAGCUCGCGCACUGUAGACCUUUCCACCUCCUAUGUGCCACUGUCGCAACCCCUUUUGCCUAUAAAAGGAGGCCCGAGGCGACGAGGAGAAGGAUUCGGCUCUUUUGGGCAAGUUACACCCCGUAGCUAGCUCAAGAACACAAGAACACUCAAUACAUCCACCAAAGCAGGACUAGGAUAUUACGCAUCUUUGUGGCCCGAACUUGGGUAAACGAUUCGUGUGCCUCAUGUCAGACCUGCUCUUCUCACAACUCCGCGCCCACCAACCGUAGAAGGGAUUCCAGUGAUCCCAUAGGUGUCGUUUUUUCCGACAUCUUUGGCGCGCCAGGUAGGGGGCGCGGUUGUGGAAAUCUGGUCUGAUCGGAGUAGCGGCUCCAUCGUGGCCGUCGUCCCGAGGAGGGAGAUGACCAAGCCUAACGGCGCUGUCUAUAGACGUGGUGGACUCCCGUGCGACCACAGAAAAGCUAAGUCAUGGAGAACUCUAAAUAUUUCCUUUUUAUAUAAGGUUAUUCCCCUCGGAGAUCUCGUCCUUUGAAUGGAAAACCUGCACGCAAUGGGGCCGUUCCGCUAUUGGCAACGCCCUUACUCUGUUUCGAGUCCGCUCAAUAGCUUAAGCGACCGUGUCGAGAAUGGCAUGGUAGCCUUCCGCAAUUGGCAACGCUCUCGGUUCUGACUCGAGUCAAGCUCGAUAGUUCGAGUGGCCGCGUUAAGAGCGGUAAGGUGGUUCGCCUGGCAGCAAGCACACCCGGCAGGCCAUUGGGGAUCCGUCCCCAAGGCGCCACCCUGGGUUUACACGCCGGCAAGCCAACCCGAUUAGCAUAGGGCGAACAUACAAAGGGGGGAUUGAACAGGAAAGUAACAUGCAUAAUAUCAAAAGUACUGCAGGGUUAUAUUACAUCACUUGUUGCCACAGUUCUAACUAAAGAUAAAAAUUGUCUUGGUUGUGAACCUGUAGCAACGAAAAGAAACGGGGUGCCUAGUCCCGGUGCAAGCCCUCUACCCUCUAGAUUCCAUCGAUGCCACUGAUGACGGGCUCGAUAAGCUCCCUGAGCGGCGCGAGGUCCACAUCCUCCGGCAAGCUCUCCAGCGCAGCGUCGAAGUCGAGGUUGGGAUUCCAGUAUGCCACCUUGGUGAGAACCUUGGUCAUGGCACCCCGGCAAAGCCUCCGGGCCUCAUUGGCCAGGAAAGUCGUCCUAGUGGAGCGGAAAUGCUCCACGGCUCCAAGAGCACCCUCGAAGAAUAGGGUCAGCCUGGCGUUGGAGGUCGUGCUGCGAUCCUGGGCGUACCUCACAUUUGGCAUACCCAUGGUGGCCAGCUGCGUGGUGAUCCUGCCGGCGACGUCCUCGAGGCGGCUGAUCCAGCGAUUCUCGCCCUCCACAAAAUCCUUGUGGUUGGCGGCUUCGUUCUUCCGCUGCAGCUUCUCGGCCUCCAGAUCCUUGGCCAGGGUCUCCUCCCGAGCCUUGGCCUCUGAGAGCAUCUCCUCAAGGCCCUCCAGCUUCAGCUUCAGGUCUCUGAUGGAGUCGUUGGCCUUGGAGAGCUGCUCAGCCUUGCCGAGGACUGCGCCCUGCGCCUCCGUCAGGGCACCGUUGAGCGUGUCCUUCUCCUUGGCCAGCUUCUGGGUCUGGUCCUUCAGCCCGUCCCUCUCCACCUCCAUCUCCUUCACCCGGUCGGCGUGAGCCAGAGCCUGGGCAUCGAGUGCCUCCUUGUGCCUCUGCUCUAGCUCCUGGGUCCGCUGCACGACGAGCUUCUCCACCUCCUCAUCCUUGCCGCGGAGCGUUGCAGCAAGCUUCUCCUCAUGCGCGGCAAGGUCCUCCUCUUGGGAGUUCAGCGCGGCCUGGUGCUGGGUUCGAGCGGCCUUGGCUGCAGUGGCCAAGUUCUCGACCGUCUGUUGGGCCUUCUCGAUGUCGUCCCACUUCAUGGUGAGCUCCACCUCGCGCUUGGCCAGCUCGCCCUGGGCGGCCUUCAGCUCCUCGCAAGCCUGGCGGAACCAAGUUUGCGCCUCGGCGACGUGUCCCUUGAGGUCCGCCUCCGCCUCUUCCACCGUUCCCAUCCUGGACUUGGCCUUGUCCAGGCGGGCGCGGUGGAGCGCUUGGAGCUUCCGGAAGCUGGCGCCCAUGGCCUGGAGAAGCCGCUUGAUACGUCUCCAACGUAUCUAUAAUUUAUGAAGUAUUCAUGCUAUUAUAUUAUCCAUCUUGGAUGUUUAUGGGCUUUAUUAAACACUUUUAUAUCACUUUUGGGACUAACCUAUUGACCCAGAGCCCAGUGCCAGUUUCUGUUUUUUCCCUUGUUUCAGUGUUACGAAGAAAAGGAAUAUCAAACGGAGUCGAAACAGAAUGAAACCUUCUGGAGAAGUUAUUUUUGGAAAGAAAGCAACCCGGUAGACUUGGAGUGCACGUCAGGAAAGAAAUGACGGAGGCACGAGGCAGGGGGGCGCGCCCACCCCCCCUGGGCGCCCCCUCCACCCUCGUGGGCCCCUCGUGGCUCCCCUGACGUAUUUCUUCCUCCUAUAUAUACCCAUAUACCCUAAAACGAUCGGGGAACAGAAUAGAUCGGGAGUUCCGCCGCCGCAAGCCUCUGUAGCCACCAAAAACCAAUCGGGACCCUGUUCCGGCAGCCUGCCGGAGGGGGGAUCCCUCACCGGUGGCCAUCUUCAUCAUCCCGGCGCUCUCCAUGACGAGGAGGGAGUAGUUCUCCCUCGGGGUUGAGGGUAUGUACCAGUAGCUAUGUGUUUGAUCUCUCUCUCUCGUGUUCUUGCUUUGGCAUGAUCUUGAUGUAUCGCGAGCUUUGCUAUUAUAGUUGGAUCUUAUGUUUCUUCUCCCCCUCUACUCUCUUGUAAUGGAUUGAGUUUUCCCUUCGAAGUUAUCUAUCGGAUUGAGUCUUUAAUGAUUUGAGAACACUUGAUGUAUGUCUUGCCGUGCAUAUCUGUGGUGACAAUGGGAUAUCACGUGAUUCACUUGAUGUAUGUUUUGGUGACCAACUUGCGGGUUCCGCCCAUGAACCUAUAAAUAGGGGUUGGCACACGUUUUCGUCUUGAUUCUCCGGUAGAAACUUUGGGGUACUCUUUGAAGAACUUUGUGUUGGUUUGAAUAGAUGAAUCUGAGAUUGUGUGAUGCAUAUCGUAUAAUCGUACCCACGGAUACUUGAGGUGACAUUGGAGUAUCUAGGUGACAUUAGGGUUUUGGUUGAUGUGUGUCUUAAGGUGUUAUUUUACUACGAACUCUAGGGCUGUUAGUGACACUUAUAGGAAUAGCCCAAUGGAUUGAUCCGAAAGAAUAACUUUGAGGUGGUUUCGUACCCUACCAUAAUCUCUUCGUUUGUUCUCUGCUAUUAGUGACUUUGGAGUGACUCUUUGUUGCAUGUUGAGGGAUAGUUAUAUGAUCCAGUUAUGUUAUUAUUGUUGAGAGAACUUGCACUAGUGAAAGUAUGAACCAUAGGCCUUGUUUCCUUGCAUUGCAAUACCGUUUACGCUCACUUUUACCACUUGUUACCUUGCUGUUUUUAUAUUUUCAAAUUAAAAAAACCUAUAUCUACCAUCCAUAUUGCACUUGUAUCACCAUCUCUUCGCCGAACUAGUGCACCUAUACAAUUUACCAUUGUAUUGGGUGUGUUGGGGAUACAAGAGACUCUUUGUUAUUUGGUUGCAGGGUUGCUUGAGAGAGACCAUCUUCAUCCUACGCCUCCCACGGAUUGAUAAACCUUAGGUCAUCCACUUGAGGGAAAUUUGCUACUGUCCUACAAACCUCUGCACUUGGAGGCCCAACAACGUCUACAAGAAGAAGGUUGCGUAGUAGACAUCAAGCUCUUUUCUGGUGCCGUUGCCGGGGAGGCUAGGUAAGCGGCACUCACACCCCGUCAACUAAGCUAGUUUCUGGCGCCGUUGCCGGGGAGGUGAGUGCUUGAAGGUAUAUCUUUAGAUCUUGCAAUCGAAUCUUUUAGUUUCUUGUUUUAUCACUAGUUUAGUUUAUAAAAGAAAACUACAAAAAAAUGGAAUUGAGUUUGUCUCAUACGCUUCAUCAUUUUAAUAUCUUUCGUGAGUAUGAUGGAAAGGAAAAUUGUGCCAAAGUACUAGAAGAAGAAUUACAUAGAAUGCUUGGCAUAAAAUAUGUGAAAGAUGGGCAUGAUUUCAAUGUUGUUAGUAUGAAUUCUAUGAAUAUCCAUGAUGCUAAUGAUAUGCAAAGCCACAAGCUUGGGGAUGCUAUGUUUGAUGAAGAUGAUAUUUUUUGUCCCCCAAGUUUUGAUGAGCAAAUUUACUAUGAUGAAAGCAUUCCCCCUAUCUAUGAUGAUUAUUGUGAUGACAUGUAUGCUAUAAAGAAUAGUGAUAACCAUGAAACUUGUCAUCUUGAUCUUAAUUUUCAAUCACAUGAUAGUUAUUUUGUUGAGUUUGCUCCCACUAUUGUUCAUGAGAAGAAUUUUGCUUAUGUGGAGAGUAAUAAAAUUUCUAUGCUUGUAGAUCAUGAAAAGAAUGUUUUAGGUGCUGGUUAUGUUGUUGAAUUCAUUCAUGAUGCUACUGAAAAUUAUUAUGAGGGAGGAACAUAUGCUUGUAGGAAUUGCAAUAAUAUCAAGUUUCCUCUCUAUGUGCUUAAAGUUUUGAAGUUAUGCUUGUUUUGCCUUCCUAUGCUAGUUGAUUAUUGUUCCCAUAAGUUGUUUGCUCACAAAAUCCCUAUGAAUAGGAAGUGGGUUAGACUUAAAUGUGCUUGCCAUGUGUUUCAUGCUGCUCUCUUUUUGUUUCAAUUCUUAUCUUUUAUGUGAGCAUCAUUGAAAUCAUCAUGCCUAGCUAGGGGCGUUAAACAUUAGCGCUUGUUGGGAGGCAACCCAAUUUUAUUUUAGUUUCUUGAUUUUUGGUUCUGUUUAGUAAUAAAUAAUCCAUCUAGCUUCUGUUUAGAUGUGGUUUUGUGUUUUAAAUUAGUGUUUGUGCCAAGUAGAACCUUUGGGAAGACUUGGGUGAAGUCUUUAUGAUCAUGCUGUAAAAAAUAGAAACUUUAGCGCUCACGAGAUUUGCUUCAACUUUUUACUGGAGUGCUAUUUAGUUGAUUAUUUUUGCAAAUGAUUACUAGACAAAUUACUCAGUUCCACCAAUUUAUUUUAGAAUUGUUGAAGUUCCAGAAGUAUACGUUUGAUACAGAUUACUACAGACUGUUCUGUUUUUGACAUAUUCUGUUUUCAUUGUGUUGUUUGCUUAUUUUGAUGAAUCUAUGGCUAGUAAAACAGUUCAUAAACCAUAGAGAAGUUGGAAUAAAGUAGGUUUAACACCAAUACAAUUAAAGAAUGAGUUCAUUACAGUACCUUGAAGUGGUGUUUUGUUUUCUUUCGCUAACGGAGCUCACGAGAUCUUCUGUUAAGUUUUGUGUUGUGAAGUUUUCAAGUUUUGGGUAAAGAUUCGAUGGACUAUGGAAUAAGGAGUGGCAAGAGCCUAAGCUUGGGGAUGCCCAAGGCACCCCAAGGUAAUAUUCAAGGACAACCAAGAGCCUAAGCUUGGGGAUGCCCCGGAAGGCAUCCCCUCUUUCGUCUUCGUUCAUCGGUAACUUUACUUGGAGCUAUAUUUUUAUUCACCACAUGAUAUGUGUUUUGCAUGGAGCGUCAUGUCAUUUUAUUUAGCUUUGCUUGCUGUUUGAAUAAUAUCCCAAGAUAUGAAAUUCAUAAAUGGGAGUAUUUUCCUUGCAUUGCAAUACCAUUUACGCUCACUUUUACCACUUGUUACCUUGCUGUUUUUAUAUUUUCAGAUUACAAAAACCUAUAUCUACCAUCCAUAUUGCACUUGUGUCACCAUCUCUUCGCAGAACUAGUGCACCUAUACAAUUUACCAUUGUAUUGGGUGUGUUGGGGACACAAGAGACUCUUUGUUAUUUGGUUGCAGGGUUGCUUGAGAGAGACCAUCUUCAUCCUACGCCUCCCAUGGAUUGAUAAACCUUAGGUCAUCCACUUGAAGGAAAUUUGCUACUAUCCUACAAACCUCUGCACUUGGAGGCCCAACAACGUCUACAAGAAGAGGGUUGCGUAGUAGACAUCACCGCUCCUCCCGAGAACCAUCGCCACUGGCGCUCGGCUCGUCAACAACCUCGAGCCCGGCGCCGGCAAGCACCUCUUCGUCGAACACCUCUCCCUCGAUGGGCGCCCUGGAGCUCGACGACCCUGGGAGGUGGACGAAAAGGUCGUCGCUCACCCUCAGAUACCUACCGGAACCAGAGGCAGCAGAGGAGGAAGGCUGGUCAUCAACCACCUCCUCCUCGGCAGUGGCCUUGCCGGCCUCUCCGGUAGGCCCCUUGUCAGGCUCCCCGGCAGGCCCCUUGGCGGCGUCCUCAGCAGCGCCCUUGGCGACCUCCUUGGCGGUGAUCUUCUCGGCCUCUGCCUCGGCGGCCUUGGUGACAUCCUCGAUGAUGGUGUCUAUGUCCUCCUGGUCUGCCGACGGGGGAUCUGGAUACCAAUAAGGGGAUGAGGCGAAGCCAAGACCAAGAUCUAGAAAGAACAGAAAAAUAACAUGGACGGAAGGUGAGUGACUUACCCGUGCCGGGCUGGGAAGCAGAGGUCCCCUCCACGCCAACAUUUGGCGCUGAGGCGAAGCCAGCAGCGCCCGGGUUCUCCUUCUCCUCCUCCGUGUGCAUGGGCUCGGUGCUUGGCGCCCUUGCCGGGGACGCCCCUCGGGGCGGCGUGGUCGAUGGGGGUGGCAUGUUGGGGGUAGCCCUCUGUGGCUCCUCCUGCUGCUAUCCUCCUCCUGCAAGCACGGCAAGGUCAGCACCAAGAGAUCGUGCCCCCAACACACGUCGACAAGGGGUGAGUGGUGAACUUAUGCCGGGGGCUUUGCCGGAGGCUGCUGUCCGGGCUGCUCAACACCACCAGCGGUGUACCGGAAGUACCUGCCGGGGCUGGCCGCUCGCCGAAGCCCUGGCCCUCUUCACCCUCUGGGCCAGUGUCUCCGCAUCCCUGCAAAGAAGAAGAACAGAUCAAGACAAGCAGCACAGAUUGAGGGGACGGAGAUGACCAGAAGGAGUAAGAUGCUUACUCAUCCUCCACCUCCUGUUCUGCCGCCUUCCUCUUCCUCCUUGGGCUGUGAUACGUCCAUUUUGCAUCAUGCUUUUAUAUCAAUAUUUAUUGCAUUAUGGGCUGUUAUUACACAUUAUGUCACAAUACUUAUGCCUAUUCUCUCUUAUUUUACAAGGUUUACAUAAGGAGGGAGAAUGCCGGCAGCUGGAAUUCUGGGCUGGAAAAGGAGCAAAUAUUAGAGACCUAUUCUGCACAACUCCAAAAGUCCUGAAACUCCACGAAAGUUAUUUUUGGAAAUAAUAAAAAAUACUGAGCGGAAGAAAUACGUCAGGGGGGCCUCCACCUGUCCACGAGGGUGGGAGGCGCGCCCCCCUGCCUCGUGGGCCCCCUGUUGGCCCUCCGGUGCCCAUCUUCUGCUAUAUGAAGUCUUUCGUCCGAAGAAAAAUCAUAAGCAAGCUUUCGGGACGAGACUCCGCCACCACGAGGCGGAACCUUGGCGGAACCAAUCUAGGGCUCCGGCAGAGCUGUUCUGCCGGGGACACUUCCCUCCAGGAAGGGGAAAUCAUCGCCAUCGUCAUCACCAACGCUCCUCUCAUCGGGAGAGGGCAAUCUCCAUCAACAUCUUCACCAGCACCAUCUCCUCUCAAACCCUAGUUCAUCUCUUCUAUCCAAUUCUUGUCUCCAAGUCUAGGAUUGGUACCUGUAGGUUGCUAGUAGUGUUGAUUACUCCUUGUAGUUGAUGCUAGUUGGUUUAUUUGGUGGAAGAUCGUAUGUUCAGAUCCUUUAUGCAUAUUAAUACUCCUCUGAUUAUGAACAUGAAUAUGCUUUGUGAGUAGUUACGUUUGUUCCUGAGGACAUGGGAGAAGUCUUGCUAUUAGUAGUCAUGUGAAUUUGGUAUUCGUUCGAUAUUUUGAUGAGAUGUAUGUUGUCUAUCCUCUAGUGGUGUUAUGUGAACGUCGACUACAUGACACUUCACCAUUAUUUGGGCCUAGAGGAAGGCAUUGGAAAGUAAUAAGUAGAUGAUGGGUUGCUAGAGUGACAGAAGCUUAAACCCUAGUUUAUGCGUUGCUUCGUAAGGGGCUGAUUUGGAUCCAUCUGUUUCAUGCUAUGGUUAGGUUUACGUUAAUACUUUUGUUGUAGUUGCGGAUGCUUGCAAUAGAGGUUAAUCAUAAGUGGGAUGCCUGUUCAAGUAAGAACAGCACCCAAGCACCGGUCCACCCACAUAUCAAAUUAUCAAAGUACCGAACGCGAAUCAUAUGAACGUGAUGAAAACUAGCUUGACGAUAAUUCCCGUGUGUCCUCGGGAGCGCUUUUCUCUAUAUAAGAGUUUGUCCAGGCUUGUCCUUUGCUACAAAAAGGAUUGGGCCACAUUGCUGCACAUUAUUUACUUUUUUUACUUGUUUCUUGUUACAAAUUAUCCUAUCACAAAACUAUCUGUUACCUAUUAUUUCAGUGCUUGCAGAGAAUACCUUGCUGAAAACUGCAUAUCAUUUCCUUCUGCUCCUCGUUGGGUUCGACACUCUUACUUAUCGAAAGGACAACGAUAGAUCCCCUACUUGUGGGUCAUCAAGACUCUUUUCUGGCGCCGUUGCCGAGGAGUGAAGCGCCUUUGGUAGGUGGAAUUUGGUAAGGAAAAAUUUAUAUAGUGUGCUGAAAUUUACUGUCACUUGUUACUAUGGAAAGUAAUCCUCUGAGGGGCUUGUUCGGGGUAUGUUCACCCCGACCAGUAGAGAAAAGAGUUGCUCCUCAACCUACUGAAGAUGAAAAUGUUUACUUUGAAAUUCCUUCGGGUAUGUUAGAAAAACUGCUAGCUAAUCCUUUUGCAGGAGAUGGAACAAAGCAUCCUGAUGAGCACCUAAUAUAUGUGGAUGAAGUUUGUGGAUUAUUUAAGCUUGCAGGUGUGCCCGGUGAUGUUAUUAAGAAGAAGGUCUUCCCUUUAUCUUUGAAGGGAGAUGCAUUGACAUGGUAUAGGCUAUGUGAUGAUACGGGGUCAUGGAACUACAAACGAUUGAAAUUGGAAUUUCAUCAGAAGUUUUAUCCUAUGCAUCUUGUUCAUCGUGAUCGCAAUUAUAUAUAUAAUUUUUGGCCUCGCGAAAAGAUAAAGCAUCGCUCAAGCUUGGGGAGGCUUAAAUCAGUGUUAUAUUCAUGCCCCAAUCAUGAGCUCCCAAGAUAAAUAAUUAUUCAAAGUUUUUAUGCUCGGCUUUCUGAUAACAAUCGCACCAUGCUCGAUACUUCUUGUGCUGGCUCUUUUAUGAUGAAGACUAUUGAAUUCAAAUGGGAUUUAUUGGAAAGAAUUAAACGCAACUCUGAAGAUUGGGAUCUCGACGAAGGUAAGGAGUCAGGUAUGACACCUAAGUUUGAUUGUGUUAAAUCUUCUAUGGAUACCGAUGUUUUCCGUAAGUUUAGCACUAAAUAUGGACUUGACUCUGAGAUAGUAGCUUCUUUCUGUGAAUCUUUUGCUACUUAUGUUGAUCUCCCUAAGGAGAAGUGGUUUAAAUAUCAUCCUCCCAUAGAAGUAAAAGUAGCUGCACCUAUUAAAGUUGAAGAAAAGACUAUCACUUAUAAUGAUCCUAUUGUUCCUACUUCUUAUGUUGAGAAACCACCUUUCCCUGUUAGGAUAAAGGAUCAUGCUAAAGCUUCAACUGUGGUCCGUAAAAGCAAUAUUAGAACUUAUACACCUCCUGAGCAAAUUAAAGUUGAACCUAAUAUUGCUAUUGUUAAAGAUCUCUUGUCUGAUAAUAUUGAUGGGCAUGUUAUUCAUUUCCAUGAUGAAACUGCUAGAAUUGCCAAACCUUGUGCUAAAGAUAAACAUAGACUUGUGGUAGGCAUGCCUGUUAUUUCUGUUAAAAUAGGAGAUCAUUGUUAUCAUGGCUUAUGUGAUAUGGGUGCUAGUGCUAGUGCAAUACCCAUUGACUUAUACAGAGAAAUUAAGCAUGAUAUUGCACCUACUGAGUUAGAAGAUAUUGAUGUCACAAUUAAACUUGCCAAUAGAGAUACUAUAUCACCAAAGGGAAUUGUUAGAGAUGUUGAAGUCUUUUGUGGGAAAACUAAAUAUCCUGCUGAUUUUCUUGUUCUUGGUUCCCCACCAGAUAGCUCUUGUCCUAUUAUAUUUGGUAGACCCUUCUUGAACACAGUUAAUGCUAGGAUAGACUGCGAAAAGGAUGUCGUUACUAUUGGUCUAGGUGAUAUGUCUCAUGAGUUCAACUUUUCUAAAUUUCUCAAUUCGAUGGAAUUGUUUGAUCUUAAAGGGGAUCUUCUAUAAUUUCGCACAUAAGGGGUUAUUUCUUGGUUUCGUCCAGUCAUUAAUAACUUGAUUAUUUUUAGACGUAGACAACACCGUGAAGAGGAAUUGCCUAGUAAGGAUGAAAUAAUUGGUCUUGCUUCUAUUGCCGUACCUCCUACUGAUCCUUUAGAACAAUAUUUGCUAGAUCAUGAAAAUGAUAUGUUUAUGAAUGAAAGAAGGGAAAUAAAUGAAGUAUUCUUUAAACAGGAACCCAUCCUGAAACACAAUUUGCCUGUUGAAAUACUAGGGGAUCCUCCUCCACCCAAGGGUGAUCCCGUCUUUGAGCUCAAACCGUUACCUGAUACUCUUAAAUAUGCUUAUCUUGAUGAGAAAAAGAUAUAUCCUGUUAUUAGUGAUAACCUUUCAGAGCAUGAAGAAGAGAGAUUAUUGAAAACUCUGAUGAAGCACCGAGCUGCUAUUGGAUAUACUCUUGAUGAUCUUAAGGGCAUUAGUCCCACUCUAUGUCAACACAAAAUAAAUUUGGAGAAAGAUGCCAAACCAGUUCGUGAUCAUCAACGACGGCUGAAUCCUAAAAUGAAAGAAGUGGUAAGAAAGGAAAUACUAAAGCUUCUUGAGGCAGGUAUUAUUUAUCCCGUUGCUGAUAGUCAGUGGGUAAGUCCUGUCCAUUGUGUCCCUAAGAAGGGAGGUAUUAUCGUAGUUCCUAAUGAUAAAGAUGAAUUUAUUCCGCAAAGAAUUAUUACAGGUUAUAGGAUGGUAAUUGAUUUCCGCAAAUUAAAUAAAGCUACUAAAAAGGAUCAUUACCCCUUACCUUUUAUCGAUCAAAUGCUAGAAAGAUUAUCCAAACAUACACAUUUUUUCUUUCUAAAUGGUUAUUCUGGUUUCUCUCAAAUACCUGUGUCAGCCGAUGAUUAAUCAAAGACCACUUUUACUUACCCUUUCGGUACUUUUGCUUAUAGACGUAUGCCUUUUGGUUUAUGUAAUGCACCUGCUACCUUUCAAAGAUGCAUGAUGGCUAUAUUCUCUGACUUUUGUGAAAAGAUUUGUGAGGUUUUCAUGGACGAUUUUUCCGUCUAUGGAUCCUCUUUUGAUGAUUGCUUGAGCAACCUGAGUUUUGCAGAGAUGUGAAGAAACUAAUCUUGUCUUGAAUUGGGAAAAGUGCCACUUUAUGGUUAAUGAAGGUAUUGUGUUGGGGCAUAAAGUUUCUGAAAUGGGUAUUGAGGUUGAUAAAGCCAAGGUUGAUGCUAUUGAACAGAUGCCAUGUCCCAAGGAUAUCAAAGGUAUAAGAAGUUUCCUUGGUCACGCCGGUUUUUAUAGGAGGUUCAUUAAGGACUUCUCAAAAAUUUCUCGGCCUCUGACGAAUUUAUUACAAAAAGAUAUACCAUUUGUCUUUGAUGAUGAUUGUGUAGAAGCAUUUGAAAUACUUAAGAAAGCAUUGAUCUCUGCACCUAUCGUUCAGCCACCUGAUUGGAAUUUACCCUUUGAAAUCAUGUGUGAUGCUAGUGAUUAUGCUGUAGGUGCUGUUCUAGGGCAAAGUGUUGAGAAGAAAUUAAAUGUUAUUCAAUAUGCUAGUAAAACUCUAGACAAUGCACAGAGAAAUUAUGCUACUACUGAGAAAGAAUUCUUAGCAGUCGUAUUUGCUUGUGAUAAGUUUAGACCUUAUAUUGUUGAUUCUAAAGUAACUAUUCACACGGAUCAUGCUGCUAUUAAAUAUCUUAUGGAAAAGAAAGAUGCUAAACCUAGACUUAUUAGAUGGGUUCUCCUGCUACAAGAAUUUGAUUUGCAUAUUGUUGAUAGAAAAGGAGCUGAGAACCCCGUUGCAGACAACUUGUCUAGGUUAGAAAAUGUUCUUGAUGACCCACUACCUAUUGAUGAUAGCUUUCCGGAUGAACAAUUAAAUGUCAUAAAUGCUUCUCGUACUACUCCAUGGUAUGCUGAUUAUGCUAAUUAUAUUGUUGCUAAAUUCAUACCACCUAGUUUCACAUACCAGCAAAAUAAAAAGUUUUUCUAUGAUUUGAGACAUUACUUUUGGGAUGACCCACAUCUUUAUAAAGAAGGAGUAGAUAGUGUUAUUAGACGUUGUGUACCUGAGCAUGAACAGGAACAGAUCCUACGCAAGUGUCACUCCGAGGCUUACGGAGGACACCACGCUGGAGAUAGAACUGCACAUAAGGUAUUGCAAUCCAGUUUUUAUUGGCCUACUCUCUUCAAGGAUGCCCGUAAGUUUGUCUUAUCUUGUGAUGAAUGUCAAAGAAUUGGUAAUAUUAGUAGACGUCAAGAAAUGCCUAUGAACUAUUCACUUGUUAUUGAACCAUUUGAUGUUUGGGGCUUUGAUUAUAUGGGACCUUUUCCUGCCUCUAAUGGUUACACACAUAUUUUAGUUGCUGUUGAUUACGUUACUAAGUGGGUAGAAGCUAUUCCAACUAGUAGUGCUGAUCAUAACACUUCUAUUAAAAUGCUUAAAGAAGUUAUUUUUCCGAGUUUUGGAGUCCCUAGAUAUUUAAUGACUGAUGGUGGUUCACAUUUUAUUCAUGGUGUUUUCCGUAAAAUGCUUGCUAAGUAUGAUGCUAAUCAUAGAAUUGCAUCUCCUUAUCACCCGCAGUCUAGUGGUCAAGUAGAAUUGAGUAAUAGAGAGCUCAAAUUGAUUUUGCAAAAGACUGUUAAUAGAUCUAGAAAGAAUUGGUCCAAGAAACUUGAUGAUGCAUUAUGGGCCUAUAGAGCUGCAUAUAAAAAUCCUAUGGGUAUGUCUCCGUAUAAAAUGGUUUAUGGAAAAGCAUGUCACUUACCUCUCGAACUAGAACAUAAGGCAUAUUGGGCUAUUAAAGAGCUCAAUUAUGAUUUCAAACUUGCCGGUGAGAAGAGGUUAUUUGAUAUUAGCUCACUUGAUGAAUGGAGAACCCAAGCUUAUGAGAAUGCCAAAUUGUUUAAAGAAAAGGUUAAAAGAUGGUAUGACAAAAGAAUACAAAAGCGUGAGUUUAAUGUAGGUGAUUAUGUAUUACUAUACAACUCUCGUUUAAUAUUUUUUGCAGGAAAACUUCUCUCUAAAUGGGAAGGCCCUUACGUUAUCGAGGAGGCCUAUCGUUCCGGUGCCAUAAAAAUCAACAACUUCGAAGGCACAAAUCCGAAGGUGGUGAGCGGUCAAAGAAUCAAACAUUAUAUCUUAGGUAAUCCCAUAAAUGUUGAAACCAAUGUUAUUGAAACCGUAACCCCGGAGGAAUACAUAAGGGACACUUUCCGGAACGUUUCAGACUCCGAAAAGGAAUAGGUAUGUGGUACGGUAAGUAAACUGACUCCAAAACAAUUCUAAUGGUAAUAUUUCUCCGUUUUGGAAUAUUUAGAAAAAUAGAAAAAUAAGAAGUUGUCCGGGAAGGACACGAGGCCUCCACGAGGGUGGAGGGCGCGCCCUACUCCUCUGGGCGCGCCCCCUACCUCGUGGGCACCUCGUGUGCUCUCCGGACUCCGUUUUCUUGCACGAUAGGUAUUUUGGUCGGUAAAAAUUCAUUAUAUAAUCUCCCGAAGGUUUUGACUCCUGUAUUACGCAAAUAUCCUCUAUUUUCAUUUCGAGCUGUUUUUCUGACAGAUCUAGAUCAUCAUGACGUCUCCAAGCGCCCCCAAGGACAAGUUCUUCGAGAAGGUCAUCAACCCUUACCUCGCGGAGGUGCUGCGACACCCUCAAACUAUUGAGAUGUGUGAUGGGUUGCUGCACAUCCACGAUGUUGAGGGGCCAAAGGGGGCCGGAAGUGUGGAGACAAGGCUCGAAGCCAUGGAGCAACAAGUUUUCAAGUGCCAGGGGAUGGUGGAACGUGGACUCAACUCCAACCACAUGAUGAUCACGGAGUUCACCAACAGCCACAAGCUGGAUGCCCAGAACAUUGGGGAUACCAUCUUCAAGCUUCACGAGAAGAUCGAGCACCUCCAAGCCCAAAUCUAUGACCUGCAAAACCAAAACUGUGAGUAUGAAUAUAGAUUCAAGAGGAUGAGUUUGGCUGCAGAUUUGAGGAUUCCGGAGACUCGAUCAUCCUUCUAUGAUGGUGAGCCUAUGCCUUGGAAGAUGGACGAUAAGCCUACAUCAUCAACAAUCCCUUCACCAACAAAGGAGACAUAAUCACAUGGGUAUGGGCACUCCCCUUGGCAACUUCCAAGCUUGGGGGAGGUGCCCCGGUAUCGUAUCACAACCACAUCUCCUUUCUUUACCGUUUUUCUUAGUUCGAUCCUUUUAGUAGUAUCUCGAUCUAGUAGAAUAAAGUUUUGGUAUGAUCUAGUUUUGAGUUUUGCUUUAUGAUCCCUCUUUGUAAUCGAGUCCAUGAGCUAUAUAACAAAGAUUAGUGUUGAGUCAAGGGCUUGAUUAUUUUGCCUUGAUCUUGAGUGAAUAAAAGAAUAAAAAGAAAUAAAGAGAUCAUAUUGAUCUUAUUGAUCUUAUUGAGAGUAAUGACUUCACAUAGAAAGAGUAUGAUGAUUAAAAAUUGUUGAGAGAUGACAAACAUAGCUUUGGUCAUCGUUGCAAUUAAUAGGAAGUAAUAAAGAAAGAGAGGUUUCACAUAUAAAUAUACUAUCUUGGACAUCUUUUAUGAUUGUGAGCACUCAUUAAAAUAUGACAUGCUAAAGAGUUGAUGUUGGACAAGGAAGACAACGUAAUGGGUUAUGUUUUCUUAUAUCUGAGAUAAAGUAUAUUGUCAUAGAUCAUCCAACAUGUUGAGCUUGCCUUUCCCCCUCAUGCUAGCCAAAUUCUUUGCACCAAGUAGAGAUACUACUUGUGCUUCCAAAAACCCUUAAACCAGUUUUGCCAGGAGAGUCCACCAUAUCUACCUAUGGAUUGAGUAAGAUCCUUCAAGUAAGUUGUCAUCGGUGCAAGCAAUAAAAAUUUCUCUCUAAAUAUGUAUGAUUGAUUGGUGUGGAGGAAAUAAGAUUUAUACGAUCUUGUGAUGUGGAAGAAAUAAAAGCGACGGACUGCAUAAUAAAGGUUCAUAUCACAAGUCGCAAUAUAAAGUGACGUUCUUUCGCAUUAAGAUUUUGUGCAUCCAACCCUGAAAGCGCAUGGCAACCUCUGCUUCCCUCUGCGAAGGGCCUAUCUUUUAUUAUUAUCUUCUACCUUAUGCAAGAGUCAUGGUGAUCUUCACCUUUCCUUUUUAUAUUUUAUCCUUUGGCAAGCACAGGAUGUUGGAAAGAUCCUGAUAUAUAUAUAUAUAUAUAUAUAUAUAUAUAUAUAUAAAAUUGGAUGUGGGUUAGCAUGAAUUAUUAUUGUUGACAUUACCCUUGAGGUAAAAGGUUGGGAGGCAAAACUAUAAGCCCCUAUCUCUGGUUAAAACUCCGUAACCACAAGUAUUGCGUGAGUGUUAGCAAUUAUGAAAGACUAAAUGAUAGUUGAGUAUGUGGACUUGCUAGAAAGCUUUGACAUAGACUCUUUUCUGAUGUUAUGAUAAAUUGCAAUUGCUUCAAUGACUGAGAUUAUAGUUUGUUAGUUCUCAAUAAAGUUUCUGAUUCAUACUUUGCAUUGUGAAUAGAUUAUUACUUGAGCAUAAGAAAUCAUAUGACAAUAUCCAUAUAUGUUGCUGUUAUGAGAAUAAUCAUGAUGCCUUCAUGUCCGUAUUUUAUUUUAUCGACACUUCUACCUGUAAACAUGUGGACAUAUUUAUCGUUAUCGGCUUUCGCUUGAGGACAAGCGAGGUCUAAGCUUGGGGGAGUUGAUGCGUCCAUUUUGCAUCAUGCUUUUAUAUCAAUAUUUAUUGCAUUAUGGGCUGUUAUUACACAUUAUGUCACAAUACUUAUGCCUAUUCUCUCUUAUUUUACAAGGUUUACAUAAGGAGGGAGAAUGCCGGCAGCUGGAAUUCUGGGCUGGAAAAGGAGCAAAUAUUAGAGACCUAUUCUGCACAACUCCAAAAGUCCUGAAACUCCACGAAAGUUAUUUUUGGAAAUAAUAAAAAAUACUGAGCAGAAGAAAUACGUCAGGGGGGCCUCCACCUGUCCAUGAGGGUGGGGGCGCGCCCUACCCCCCUGGGCGCGCCCCCUGCCUCGUGGCCCCCCUGUUGGCCCUUCGGUGCCCAUCUUCUGCUGUAUGAAGUCUUUCGUCCGAAGAAAAAUCAUAAGCAAGCUUUCGGGACGAGACUCCGCCGCCACGAGGCGGAACCUUGGCGGAACCAAUCUAGGGCUCCGGAAGAGCUGUUCUGCCGGGGACACUUCCCUCCGGGAGAGGGAAAUCAUCGCCAUCGUCAUCACCAACGCUCCUCUCAUCGGGAGAGGGCAAUCUCCAUCAACAUCUUCACCAGCACCAUCUCCUCUCAAACCCUAGUUCAUCUCUUCUAUCCAAUUCUUGUCUCCAAGUCUAGGAUUGGUACCUGUAGGUUGCUAGUAGUGUUGAUUACUCCUUGUAGUUGAUGCUAGUUGGUUUAUUUGGUGGAAGAUCGUAUGUUCAGAUCCUUUAUGCAUAUUAAUACUCCUCUGAUUAUGAACAUGAAUAUGCUUUGUGAGUAGUUACGUUUGUUCCUGAGGACAUGGGAGAAGUCUUGCUAUUAGUAGUCAUGUGAAUUUGGUAUUCGUUCGAUAUUUUGAUGAGAUGUAUGUUGUCUAUCCUCUAGUGGUGUUAUGUGAACGUCGACUACAUGACACUUCACCAUUAUUUGGGCCUAGAGGAAGGCAUUAGAAAGUAAUAAGUAGAUGAUGGGUUGCUAGAGUGACAGAAGCUUAAACCCUAGUUUAUGCGUUGCUUCGUAAGGGGCUGAUUUGGAUCCAUCUGUUUCAUGCUAUGGUUAGGUUUACGUUAAUACUUUUGUUGUAGUUGCGGAUACUUGCAAUAGAGGUUAAUCAUAAGUGGGAUGCCUGUUCAAGUAAGAACAGCACCCAAGCACCGGUCCACCCACAUAUCAAAUUAUCAAAGUACCGAACGCGAAUCAUAUGAACGUGAUGAAAACUAGCUUGACGAUAAUUCCCAUGUGUCCUCGGGAGCGCUUUUCUCUAUAUAAGAGUUUGUCCAGGCUUGUCCUUUGCUACAAAAAGGAUUGUGCCACAUUGCUGCACUUUAUCUACUUUUGUUACUUGUCGCUCGUUACAAAUUAUCCUAUCACAAAACUAUCUGUUACCUAUUAUUUCAGUGCUUGCAGAGAAUACCUUGCUGAAAACUGCAUAUCAUUUCCUUCUGCUCCUCGUUGGGUUCGACACUCUUACUUUUCGAAAGGACUACGAUAGAUCCCCUAUACUUGUGGGUAAUCAGGCUGAGGGACCCGAAAUCAAAGACAACCUCCGCGUCGUCAUCUGCGGGAGGAGGGGAAGCAGAUGGAGUCUGGACGCGCUUGGAUGAAGAAGAGGCAGAUGCUUUCUCCUCCGCCACCACGGCUUUCACCGAUUUCUUCGCAGCCGCGGCCCUCGUUUGGCGCACGGACGCCUCCUGAGCUUGCUGGGGCUGCACGACCCUGCCGGGCCGAACCGGCUCGCCAGAGGUGGCCCGCCGCGGGAAUCGCCCUCUCCCCGUGGCCGGAGGGUCGACAGCCUCGGCCUCCUCCUCCGACGACUCAUCGACCACAUCCUCGAUGAGGGGAGCCCCGGUGCCGGCGCUGCUGGCCUCCCCAGCAGACUCCGCCCACUCGGCAAGCUCCUUCUCCUCCGCGGCCGCCGCAGCCUUAUCCUCCACGCCGCCGGCACUGCCGGCCUCCUUGGCGAGCUCUGCCUCCACCGCCCUGGCGGCGAUGUAGUCCAGCUCCGCCUGGGUGGUGUCCUGGACGAGCCGCGGCUCAUCGUGGACGUACUUCUCCUCCAUGGAGUCAAAGAACUACCGCACUUGAUCCUCCGGCGGCUCCGCCCAAGUUGGGACGAGGCCGUGCGCGUUGAACUCCGGCAUCAUGGCAAUCAUGUCGUUUCGGCGUGAGUUGUUGCUCAGCGGGACCACUCCCACCGGCAACUUGAACAAGGGCCCCUUGUCGACCUUGCCGGCCUUCGCAGCCUUGCCGGACCGCUCGACCUUGCCGUCGCGGUUCACAUUAAGCUAGAAGAGCUGCUAGCAGAAGUGGGCGUGCCCCAUCACCGUGAAGUUGUGGUCCAAGCCGGGUCGGAGCCUCAUGAUGUCGGCGGCGUUUGUGAAGAGCCAGGCCGGCCUCCCCUUAUUGUGCAGCGGAGUGAUUAGGCGGCGGAUGAAAUCCGCCCCGAUCAUCUCGAGGGUGAGCCCGGCCUCGGUGAGACGGAGAAUCCUGGUGGUGGCGACCAUGAGCUUCUUGUCGUUGACAUCGACAUUGCUCCAGUCGUUUCUGCGGACUGGCAGCGCCUGGUGAACCUCGCAGAAUGCUGGUGGGUCCUUCUCCUCAAUCCAGCACCACCGGCCUCACCACUCCUCCCACCUCUCCUUCUGGGCGUCGUCGGGGUAUGUCUCUUUCUCCUGGGUCCUGGGGAUCCAGGCGACGCAACCGGAAAUGGCGCCCCCCUUUUGGAUGCGAGGGAAGAAAUAGUGGCGGAAGAGCGCCGUGUUGGGAUGCACCCCGGCAAAACCCUCGCAGAGGUGCACAAAAAGAGCUAUACACACCACGACAUUUGGAGUAAAAUCCAGAAGGUGGAAGCCAUAGGUGUGCAUGAUGUCACUGAAGAAAUCAGAGAAGGGGGGGCAGAGGCCGCAAGAAAAGUAGUCGACGAAGAACGGGUACCGAUUCGGGCCAGCUUCGGCGAAGGCGGCAGGGACGACGCGCGUGGCCGGAUGCCCCGUCGUCUCGCUUCCCGUCUUGCACCCCCACAGGUGCUUGAAGUAGUCCCGGAGCUCGACCGCAUCGACCGUCGACGAGAAGUAGGCGUGCUGCGUCCGCUGCACCGCCAACCCGCUCUCCACGGCUCCUUCUCCUCGGCGUCCUUGGCCACUCCCUUGCCUCUGCUGGUCUUGGGUGCCAUGGCGGCUGCAGGAAGCAAGGGACAGAAGACAGCGAAGACGCAGCGGCGGCGAGCGAAGGCAAGAGCUUGAGAAGGAGGACGAAGGGGAUGGCGGCUCCGAGAUUGGGGAAAGCAUGGAGGGUAAAUGAGCAGCGUGCCCGCGGUUAUUCCUUUUUGCGGGGAAGGCGCGGGCCGCCUCUUUUCCCAUUAACUGCGAUGUGACGCAUGCGUGCGGGAACCACCCCACGCAUGACCCCCACGUCUCGCACGACCCCCACAUCACACACGAACCUCCACGUCGCGCGUUCAACGCGGGUCGUGGGGAAGCGCAGUGGACGAAAAGUUCUGCAGUAAAAAUCCCACCCCAACUGCCCGCGCACCGUUUUGGGCCUAGCCCAACAAUGUCUCGCGCUUAUGUGUGGCCGAGGCCCAGGGGCUCCUGUCGGUGUACAAAAGUAGGGGCUCUCCUUUUGACCCCUUUACUUGUGCACGGGCAGUCAGAGCCGCGCGCGCCGCGGCCGCACAUAGCAGGGCAGAGGAGGGAAGCCGGAGAGAAACCAAAGCGCAAGAUGAACAAAGCAACGCCAAGACCAGAAGCAUAAAAGAGCAAGGGGGCGAGGUGGACUCCCCUGGCAAGACCCUUGCCGGGGCGGCCUCCGCGGCCCCGGCAAGGGCCUUGUCGGGGCAACUUGCCCAACACCAGCAGAGCGAGCCACCCUUGAGCCCAAGGGUUCCAAACGUCACCAACAGCUACAUUGGACCCAGGGCUCGGGAGGCACCUCUGUGGUGGCAUGCAGAUCUUUGUCAAGAUCAUAGAUACAUGAGAGCAGAUGAGGACCAGAAGACGACGAUGCUCCACGGGAUUCUAGCCGAGGAAACCCACUUGACCCUCGGCAAGAGUCUUGCCGGGGACAACCGUCGCGCCAAGGCAAGACCCUUGCCGGCCCCCCCGGCAAGACCCUUGCCGAGGGCAUAAGCAGGGCCAUAGCCAGGCCCGCACAAGCCAAGACUCCACCGCCGUUCCCAGGCAGCUGCUAGCUCAACCAGCUGGGCAGGCACCUGUGUGGCGGUAGGCGGCCUCUACACUGACUCAGCAAGCACCUGCGUGGUGGCAUGCAGAUCUUCGUGAAGGCUCCACCACCGCGCCACCUUAGCAGCCUGCCUGCCUACAUGGCACCGCAUGCUUCGCUGGCCCGGGCACGUGCCGAUGCGAGGCGGGGCGGCGACGGACGGGAUGGGCCUUGUUCUCGUCCCCGAUAAAGCUAAUGGACACCUAAGUAGCGCAUUUAAUGUGCUUUGUCUUGUAACGCCGGGCGAUAAGCUCGUGCACUGUAGACAUUUCCACCUCCUGUGUGCCAUGGUGGCAACCCCUUUUGCCUAUAAAAGGAGGCCCGAGGCGACUAGGAGAAGGAUUCGGCUCUUUUGGGCAAGUUACACCCCGUAGCUAGCUCAAGAACACAAGAACACUCAAUACAUCCACCAAAGCAGGACUAGGGUAUUACGCAUCUUCGCGACCCAAAACUGGGUAAACGAUCCGUGUGCCUCCUGUCAGACCUGCUCUUCUCACAACCCCGCGCCCGCCAACCGUAGAAGGGAUUCCAGUGAUCCCAUAGGUGUCGUUUUUCCCCGACAAAGCCCCAGACAUCAAAAUGUUUGAUAACAAGAACAUAGUUUAUUAGCAUUUCCUGUUGUGUACUAAUAUUACCAGUUAUUUGACGUUUAUCACAAGAGAGAAUAGAUUUAUGAGCAUUUUUAAAAAGAGUAGAACACUAAAAACCAUAUUGUAAGACCGUGUAUGCAUUUUUCUAUCUCCAGCCUAGUGCCUUACAUAAGGAUUAGAGUCACACUUCCUUAGUAUAUCUUCCUGCUCAUGUUCAGGUACAACGUCUAACAAUGUCAUAUACUCCUUUUCUAUAUAGAUGUGGAUCAUCCAGAAAAGUAAUGUCGCAAAUCAAGGAAAAAUUAUCUUUUGUUGAUAAGUAAACUUAGGUGGAAUGUACUUAGCAACAAUAAAAUUUGCAUAAUCAACAAACAGUAAAACAAAUCUAUGAAAAAGUGAAAAUUCCCAGGUUGCGACAAAGUGGCACACAUGAAGUGUACCACUUGUCAGCACCAGAGAACGUGGAAUUGACCUUGCAAGGGGUACCCCUUAAUUAGUGAUUUCACGCACCUAGUAGUGGCAUUUGAAUUUGCUUUUUGAGUGGAGCGGCUGAUAGGCGAGCGCGUUGCUCCUUUGGGCUGGCCUGUCGCCUCGAGUGGACUCGGUGCGUAUCUUCUGUUAAGUGUGAGUUGUGAUGACUAUGGCCUAACAGCAAAAGGAGAACUUGUUUUCUUCUGCUCUCACUUUCUCUCUCUUGUGAAACAACCUUCUUGUCUAUGCUAAAAAAGAAAGAAAAAACUUGAUGUAUUUAUUUAAUUGUUUCUUCAUUGUUGGAGUAUUUGAAAAUUAUAAAAUAAUAUUUUUAUUAACAUCAAUCCACUAUGGUCUUAUUGUAACACUAGAACACUGUUCAGGUAACGGGCCACCUCUUGUGUUGUGUGGGGCGGAGUUUACCAUGACAUCAUACUAAAUAUGAAUGAGUUUCCAAAAAAAUAAACUCAAGCAUGAGCAUGUGAGUUGGACUAUCCAUACAUAAUUACGUAGGCCUCCAUUAAUUUUUCACAAGUGUGCCUAAGAAUGUAGUGUUAUAACAGGUUUCCUUCUUUAUCGAAUAUAAUAGGAAAUAAUUGUUAAAAAUCACCAGAACGUAAUAAAAUGCCAAUUCUUUUCGCGGAAGAUUAAUAUACAAGUUAACCAGGUCUUACUAGUUUUUCAGAAUUCUUGGAGUUCUAGAAGUAUUCGAACGAAUCAGAUUGCUACAGACUGUUCUAUUCUGACAGAUUCUGUUUUCUUUGUGUUGUGUGCUUAUUUUGAUGGCUCUAUGGUUUUCUUUGAUGAGUUUUUGCCAUAGAAAAGUUGGAAUACAGUAGAUAUAAUGCAAAAACAAAAUAAGAAUUGGUUUGAUACAACACUUAUAGUAGUGAUUUAUUUUUCUUACACUAACGGAUCUCACGAAGGUUUUGUUGAGUUUUGUGUGAUUGAAGUUUUCUAGUUUUGGGUUAUCUUACGAUGGAUGAAGGAAGGAUAGAAGAGCCUAAGCUUGGGGAUGCCCCGGCAUCCCAAGCUAUUAUCCAAAAAUGAGCAACCAACUAAGCUUGGGGAUGCCCCCGAGUGACAUCCCCGCUUUCUUCCAACGACUAUUGGUAUUUUACUUGAAUCUAUAUUUUUAUUCGUCACAUGAUAUGUGUUUUGCUUGGAGCGUCUUGUAUGAUAUGAGUCUUUGCUUGUUUUAUUUUGUGUUUUUAGUCAUCAAUCCUUUCUGGACACACAUAUUUGGGAGAGCCAAAAUUAUGUCAUGACUUGUUAGAAUUGCUCUCUAUGCUUCACUUAAAUCUUUUAUGAGCUAUGGACUUGCUCUAGUGCUUCACUUAUAUCUUUUUGAGCACGGUGUGCUUAGUAUUUUUGAAGAAAUUCUCGCUUGCUUCACUUAGAUUUAUUUGAGAGUUAUUAAAAUUUUCAAGAAAUUCUCUCUUGCUUCACUUAAAUUAUUUUGAGAGAAAGAAAAAUUAUGCUCAUGAUCUUCACUUAUAUUUGUUUGAGCUCAUGAAAAGCAACACAUGAAAAUUAGUCCCAAAGUGAUAGAUAUCCGAGAAGGAUAUAAUAACAAGUUUCAUGAAGAUCAUUGGACAAAAUAAACUUGAUUCUUAAUUAGUAAUAGUUUUGAGAUAUGAUGACGUGAUAUGUGAGUUAUGUUGAUGAGUAAUUAUGCUUUAGUAAGAAUAUUGGUGUUAAUGUUUGUGAUUCCCUAUGCAAGUAUGAAAGUCAAUAGUCAUGCAAUGAAAUUACAUCCUACUUGUGGUGCAUUAUACGGUGUUAUUUAUGCUUAAUGCUUGCUUAUGAGAUUAUCCGUUUCUUGGUUGGUCGCUUCUCAAUCUUUUGCUAGCCUUCAUUUUGCACCAAGUAUGAUCUCUACUUGUGCAUCCAAAAUCCUUUAAACCAGUUUUGCCAUAUGAGUCCACUAUAUCUACCUAUAUGCGGUAUUCUUUUGCCGUUCUAAGAAAAUUUGCAUGUGCCAUAUCUAAUUAUCAAAAUAAACUUCUCUUUUGUGUGUUUGUUUCGCUCGCGGAGCGGUGAGGGGUGGCUAAUAUUUUCCAUGCUGGAUGUGUUAUUCUCACGAUGAGUGUUUAUUCACUUGUCAUUGCACGAGAGUAAGGCAAAGGUUUUAGGGAUGCCCAGUCCCGAAAUGCAAAAAUGAAUUUACUUUAUGUUGUCAAAUAAUAAAUUCCUCAGAAAGUGUUGGUAUGGAGGGCACCCGUGGAUACGGUUAGCCAUGGAAAGUGAAAGUAUGGUGGAAAAAUGAAUAAACUUUAUUUUCUGUUUGGAAACCACCUAUGGCAUAUCUAGCAUGGAAAGUGUUGGGAACUCUAAGUCAUUUUUGUUGGUGGGAUGGAUACACCUCCCAAAAUGUUUUUAUCUCUAAUUUUUCGCUUUGAGCUCUGGCACCUCUACAAAUCCAUGCUUUCCUCUGUGAAGGGCCUUUCUUUUACUUUAUGCAAUUUUUAUUUGAGUCUCCAUCUUCUCUCAUAAAAAGCACCAACUAGGAGGCAAUAUGAUCGUACUUAAGUGUUGGUUGUACCUAAUAUUCGAGUGUGUUUCAUGAAUGGAUCAAUGUUUGAGCAUGAUGGGUUAGGGAUAACUUAUUUUAGCGUUGAUAUUUUGAAAGACAUGGUUGCUUGUUGAUAUGCUUGAGUAUCUAAAUUAUUAUGUCAAAACUAGACUCUUGCUUUGAAUCACAUAAAAGUCCAAUUGUCCAUGCUAUAAAGAAAAGAAUAUGAUAUGACAUGAUAGGCACCAUUCCACAUCAAAACUUCUGUUUUUAUCACUUACCUACUCGAGGACGAGUAGGAGUUAAGCUUGUGGAUGCUCAUACGUCUCCAACAUAUCUAUAAUUUUUUAUUGUUCCAUGCUGUUAUAUUAUCAAUCUUGGAUGUUUUAUAAUCAUUUUAUAUCAUUUUUUGGUACUAACCUAUUGACAUAGUGCCAAGUGCCAGUUGCUAUUCUUUCAUGUUUUUUAAAUCACAGAAAAUCAAUAUCAGACGGAGUCCAAAUGCCACGAAACACCACAAUAAUUUUUUAUGGGCCAGAAGGAACACAUUGGGCCCUGACUGUGCCUGGGGAAGUCCCGAGGAGGGGACAACCCACCAGGGCGCGCCAGGAGGCCCUGACGCGCCCUGGUGUGUUGUGCCCACCUCGGGUGCCCCCCGGACCGCCUCUUUGCUCUAUAAAUACCCCAAUAUUCCAGAAACCCUAGGGGAGCUGACGAAAUAUUCAUCCAGCCGCCGCAGAGUCCAGAACCACCAGAUCCAAUCUAGACACCAUCUCGGAUGGGGUUCACCACCUCCAUUGGUGCCUCUCCGAUCUUGCGUGAGUACUUCUUUGUAGACCUUCGGGUUCGUAGUUAGUAGCUAGAUGGCUUUCUCUCUCUCGCUGAAUUGUCAAUACAGUGGUCUCUUGGAGAUCUAUAUGAUCUAACUCUUUUGCGAUGUGUUUGUUGGGAUCUGAUGAACUUCGAGUUUAUGAUCAGUUAUAUCUUUUUAUAUCCAUGAAAGUUAUUUGAGUUUCUUUGAUCUCUUAUAUGCAUGAUUACUUAUAGCCUCGUAUUUCUUCUCCGAUAUUUGGGUUUUGUUUGGCCAACUUGAUCUAUUUAUCUUGCAAUGGGAAGAGGUGCUUUGUGGUGGGUUCGAUCUUACGGUGCUUGAUUCCAGUGACAGAAAGGGAAACGACACGUAUGUAUCGUUGCUAAUAAGGAUAAAACGAUGGGGUCUAUAUCUAUAUAGAUAGAUCUUGUCUACAUCAUGUCAUCGUUCUUACUGCAUUACUCCGUUUUUCCAUGAACUUAAUACACUAGAUGCAUGCUGGAUAGCGAUCGAUGUGUGGAGUAAUAGUAGUAGAUGCAGGCAGGAGUCGGUCUACUAAUCUUGGACAUGAUGCCUAUAUAAUGACCACUGCCUGGAUAUCGUCAUGAUUAUUUGAAGUUCUAUCAAUUUCCCAACACUAAUUUGUUUACCCACCGUUUUCUAUUUUUCUCGAGAGAAGCCACUAGUGAAACCUACGGCCCCCGGGUCUUCUUUCUCAUAUAUUUGCCUUUGCGAUCUACUUUUCCUUUGCAUUUAUUUUUAGAUAUAUUAAACCAAAAAUACAAAAAUACCUCACUGCAUUUUAUUUCUAUUUAUUUUAUUUGGUGUUCGAUCUAUCAAUCUACUAUGAAUUUACCUCACGUCCUUUGCCUAUCUUGAGGCGUCGUAGCCCGGAAGGGAUUGACAACCCCUUUAACACGUCGGGUUGCGAGGAUUUGUUAUCUGUGUGCAGGGGCUGUUUACGUUGUGUUGCUUGGUUCUCCUACUGGUUCGAUAACCUUGGUUUUAUAUCUGAGGGAAAUACCUACCGUCGAUGUGCUGCAUCAUCCCUUCCUCUUUGGGGAAAUACUGACGUAGCUUCAAGCGACAUCAAAAGGAAUUUCUGGCGCCGUUGCCGAGGAAAAUCUUCAACAUAUACCAGGUUCCUAAUCACAAAUCACAUCUCCUUGCAAUUUACAUUAUUUUCCAUUUGCCUCUCGUUUUCCUCUCUCCCACUUCACAAAAAUUUGUCGUUUUAUUCGCCUUUCUUUUUCCAUUCGCUGUUUUCUUGCCAGAUCUGUUUUUGUGUGCAACCUUGUUUGCCAUUACUAUGGAUAGUUCUUCCUCUAUCGCUUGCACUCCCGAGAACGAGGUUCUUAAAUUUAAACAAAGGGGAGGAGAAAAUUUCAAAGAUGCUUGGUAUAGAAUUUGCAAUGCUCAUAAUAGAUCUAUCCGUAAGCAAUCUACUGUUGUUGUUCUUCGCUAUUUUUAUGUUGGCAUCACCACUUGGUAUAGAUUCGUCCUUGAUACGAUUACCGGUGGAAAUUUCUUGAUGUGUCCCUCUCUUGAUGCUUUUAAUGCUAUGGGAAAUUUAGUGGGAUCACCACCUCUUAUGAUUAAUGAAACAACUUUGACUCUUGAGCAUGUUAUGGAAAGACUAGAUGCUAUUUAGAAGAAAAUGCUCACCAAAGAUCAUAUGGAAAUUAUAGAUAAAAAGAUGCAUAAUUUUUCCACUAAUAUUGGGUCAAAAGCGGGAGAUAUUUUUAAGUUGUUAAAAGAGAAGGGUACCAUAAUCCAUGAAAGAAUAGAAAAAGUCUGUCUCGGAUUGAUAAAUUAGAAGAAAUGUUUAGUAAUCUAAGCACUGCUUUUGCUUCCGCUAAGACUAUCAAGAAAACUCCCAUAUAGAGUGGUAGAUCCAAGAACAAGGGUGCAACUUCUAGUAAUAGUAACAAAGGAGAUCUUAAGAUGUUUAGUAUUCACCCGGAUUUUGUUUAAGUGAUAAGAGAUCCUUUUUACAAGAAUGAAUUAUUUAAAUUUACUCCUAGGAGUAUUGCUAUUGAAAGUCUUUAUGUUAAAUCCCUGAAGGAUUCUAAGUGUUUGGUUGAAGAGUUGGAUAAAGAUGACAAAACUUAGAUCUGAGGGAAAUACCUCCCGCCGCUGUGCUGCAUCAUUCCUUCCUCUUUGGGGAAAUACCAACGUAGCUUCAAGCGACAUCACUUCCUUUUUAUAUGAUUUGAAUUAAAUAUAUAUAACUAAACAAAGAAGUAUGUAAAUAUUGCAUUCGUUUUGGAAAAUGCAUGAUAAUUUCCUACUAAAUAUAAGUUAUGUAUGGUAUAUAUAGAAUUAUGAGUCAUCAAUGAUUGCUUGACAUAUUGGGAGAGGCAAAUAAUCCACUCAACUUUCUAGCUAUAAGAACCACCAAAUAGAAACAUCUCAAACAACACCUCUACUAAAGAAACCACUAGCUAGCUUGCUCAAAGAUUAAGUAUAGCGCUAACAAAGGUUCCCUCUUCUUUGCCCUAAACCUUGUUCUCAUUGCCAUUGUGCAUGGUCACCCACCAAUUGUCCUUACACCGCCUUUGGUGCCUACCCCAUUUGUUGCACCAAGUCUGUCGAAUGGUCAUUCCUGCCCAAUCAACCCACUUAAGAUAAAUGUGUGCAGCAAUGUGUUGCUGCUACUCAAGCUCCGGAUCAACGUGCCGGAGACCGAGAAAUGUUGCCCAUUGCUUAGUGGGUUGGGUGAUCUUGAUGCCGCCGUCUGCGUCUGCACUGGUAUCAAGGCCAACAUCCUUGGAAUCAUCAACAUUGACAUUCCCGUCGACCUUACCCUCCUACUAAACCAUUGUAACAAGACAUAUCCCUCUAGUUUCACUUACUCGCAAUGAGCUAUGACCAACUAUACCUCCCAAAACAUACUCAUAAUCAUGUAUGUGAGGCAUACCUAUCUAUGCCAACUCAUUAAUAAAUUUUGUGUUUAAAUUAUAUUUGUUUAGUUUUCAAGUUAUGUUUGUGUGUGUG